RNAcentral lists this ribosomal RNA (522 nucleotides) under Mammaliicoccus sciuri. RNAcentral's name for it is "bacterial SSU rRNA". It matches the Rfam family "Bacterial small subunit ribosomal RNA", at positions 57 to 562 of the family's 1533-position model. Lineage: Bacteria; Bacillati; Bacillota; Bacilli; Caryophanales; Staphylococcaceae. The record is from RNAcentral.
GCAGUCGAGCGACAGAUGAGAAGCUUGCUUCUCUGAUGUUAGCGGCGGACGGGUGAGUAACACGUGGGUAACCUACCUAUAAGACUGGGAUAACUCCGGGAAACCGGGGCUAAUACCGGAUAAUAUUUUGAACCGCAUGGUUCAAUAGUGAAAGACGGUUUCGGCUGUCACUUAUAGAUGGACCCGCGCCGUAUUAGCUAGUUGGUAAGGUAACGGCUUACCAAGGCGACGAUACGUAGCCGACCUGAGAGGGUGAUCGGCCACACUGGAACUGAGACACGGUCCAGACUCCUACGGGAGGCAGCAGUAGGGAAUCUUCCGCAAUGGGCGAAAGCCUGACGGAGCAACGCCGCGUGAGUGAUGAAGGUCUUCGGAUCGUAAAACUCUGUUGUUAGGGAAGAACAAAUUUGUUAGUAACUGAACAAGUCUUGACGGUACCUAACCAGAAAGCCACGGCUAACUACGUGCCAGCAGCCGCGGUAAUACGUAGGUGGCAAGCGUUAUCCGGAAUUAUUGGGCGUA